Molecule: long non-coding RNA, 1912 nt
Organism: Marmota monax (woodchuck)
Lineage: Eukaryota; Metazoa; Chordata; Mammalia; Rodentia; Sciuridae
Exons: 2
Source: RefSeq, a predicted model, not a curated record
GCCCUCUGGUAUACCAGACGGGAAAGAUCCAGAUGGGCAGUAUAGGACUGAGGGAUUGCGGGGAGCAGGCUGCACGGUAGAAAUAACAAUCCAGAAGAGGUGACCCCAGGCUGGACUCGGGAGGAAGCCUGGUGGGUGUCUGAGCCUGGACAAGCUCCUAAAAAUUGAUGUUCUUCAAGUCCGUGGAGCAGCGGUAUCUUCCAUCCAGGAACCUGGAGCACAGCAGGUUGGGUGAGCAGGGACAGGUGUGGUGCUGGCGUUUCCGGAAGAAGGGGACCUGGGGAGAGCAGAGAGGGACACCUUCACCCACAGGGGUGGCCUCCAGCCGGAGCCUCUGGGGGCCCAGCCCUGUCGAAUGCCUCACUCCACCUCCCAUACAGCCUCGCCCAGCAAUACUAGAGGUUAUAGCUGAGGAAACGAGGUACAGGGUGAUCGAGCAGCAUGCGAGGACCUCGGCUCACCUACGGAGGAGCUAGACGUGUACCCAGGCUGCCUGGUCUUCAGACGCAGCACCCACGCCCAGCUCUGUUGACUGGACACCUACUGUGUUAGGUCCCCGCUGGGAAUACGGAUCUGCACUGAAGCCCCACACACUCCAAAGCAAAGGGGGCCGCCGAGCUGCACAGCCUCCCCACCACCUCCUCAUGGUGUGGGGAAAAGGCCAAGAUUGAGAGGGACACUACUGGAGGAGUCUCACCCCCGACGGGGCACCGAAUCUUGUAAGAUGCCUGAAUCUGGAUGUCAGGCCCCACCCCGCAUAGCCCCCUAACCCCGCCCCCCAGUUUUGUCUGCACCUGUUGACCAUGCAGAAGCAAAGGCCCUGUGGGCUCCUCUACACCCUGUGGCUGGGAGCUGGCUGCCAGGGGAUGGAAGCAGAGCCCUCACUAGAUGCUUAGGGCACAAAAGAGUGACAGCCUUCUUGAAAUGUGUGUUCCAAGUACCUGCUGGCCUGGCUUCAGAACCGUUGUGUAGAGGAGCCAUCAUUUGGGGGGUCUUAUUUCAUGGUUGCUUUGUUGUUUGUUUGUUUUGUUUUGUUUUGUUGGUACCAGGGAUUUAACCCAGGGGUGCUUUACCACUGAGCCGCAUCCCCAGCCCUUUUUGUUCUUUAUUCUUGAGACAGGGUCUUACUAAAUCACUUGGGGCUUCACUAAGUUGCCUUGAGCUUGUGAUCAAGGUGGAGGCACCACCACCCCCAGCUGAUUUCACGUUCUUGAAGGCAGGUCUCUGAGGGAGGUUUCCAAGGGAGCAAAGGGCAUUUGAGACCCUUUCAAAAUCCAGAUUUCUCAGAUGGAUAAGAGACUGCAGGGGGGAAUCAGUGGGCUCCCUUUAAUGUAUACAUGAGGCAAAAAGCAGUCAUGCUAGUUACCCAAGAUCACACAGCAAGUAAAGAACUGGAAAUGGCCAUAACCCCCUCUCCAGGCCUAACAGUCUGCAUGACCAGUACGACUGAAGCCAGAUUUAAAGUUAGGUAGUCAGUGUAGUUAGGGAAAUCGGGUCUAAGAUCGAGUAAGAUCCAAAAUGGAGGCCAUGUUGAGAAUGAAGUGGGGGCGGGGGCAGAGCAGAACUCUUGGAAUGUUAAUGAAGUCCGGGAAAAACCCAAGGCCGGAGCCCAUCCCAAAGAAAUGUUAAUGAAACAGCUUCCUGCAAAAUUGAAGAUGCUGACCCAAAAGUCCUUCCUGCCCAGAUUACUUCUUUGGCCCACCUGUGCCCCACCCUUCGGGCCUUCCCACCUACAUUCCAUCACUGAAAGAUAACAGAACAGGGGACAGGAAUGGGGGGGGCAGAUGAAGACCCUAGGUAUAAAAAGGGGAGACAACCGCACUUCCACGGAUUCCAUCUCUUGGGUCCCCUUCUUCCUCCGGGAGAAGUCUUUUCUGCUGUCCUUUAAUAAAGCCUCUAUUUUCCACCCUGA